AGACCCGAAACCCGGUGAUCUAGCCAUGGGCAGGUUGAAGGUUGGGUAACACUAACUGGAGGACCGAACCGACUAAUGUUGAAAAAUUAGCGGAUGACCUGUGGCUGGGGGUGAAAGGCCAAUCAAACCGGGAGAUAGCUGGUUCUCCCCGAAAGCUAUUUAGGUAGCGCCUCGUGAAUUCAUCUCCGGGGGUAGAGCACUGUUUCGGCUAGGGGGCCAUCCCGGCUUACCAACCCGAUGCAAACUGCGAAUACCGGAGAAUGUUAUCACGGGAGACACACGGCGGGUGCUAACGUCCGUCGUGAAGAGGGAAACAACCCAGACCGCCAGCUAAGGUCCCAAAGUCAUGGUUAAGUGGGAAACGAUGUGGGAAGGCCCAGACAGCCAGGAUGUUGGCUUAGAAGCAGCCAUCAUUUAAAGAAAGCGUAAUAGCUCACUGGUCGAGUCGGCCUGCGCGGAAGAUGUAACGGGGCUAAACCAUGCACCGAAGCUGCGGCAGCGACACU
RNAcentral lists this ribosomal RNA (506 nucleotides) under Salmonella enterica subsp. enterica serovar Infantis. RNAcentral's name for it is "partial 23S ribosomal RNA". It matches the Rfam family "Bacterial large subunit ribosomal RNA", at positions 711 to 1215 of the family's 2925-position model. RNAcentral also lists the same sequence under 3 other names. The record is from RNAcentral. Lineage: Bacteria; Pseudomonadati; Pseudomonadota; Gammaproteobacteria; Enterobacterales; Enterobacteriaceae.